Mirounga angustirostris (Northern elephant seal) is the source of this 1463-nucleotide RNA transcript. It is a transcript of the gene named large ribosomal subunit protein uL15-like, with no coding region annotated. The record is from RefSeq and is a predicted model, not a curated record. NCBI's taxonomy places the organism in Eukaryota, Metazoa, Chordata, Mammalia, Carnivora, Phocidae. The transcript has a single exon.
GACAAAACCUGAUCCUUCUUUUCCGUCUGGGCUGCCGACAUGCCAUCCAGACUGAGGAAGACCCGGAAACUUCGGGGCCACAUGAGCCACACCACGGCCGCAUCGGCAAGCACUGGAAGCACCCAGGAGGCCGGGGUAAUGCUGGUGGCAUGCAUCACCACAGGAUCAACUUUGACAAAUAUCACCCAGGUUACUUUGGAAAAGUUGGCAUGAGACAUUACCACUUAAAGAGGAACCAGAGCUUCUGCCCAACUGUCAACCUUGAUAAACUGUGGACCUUGGUCAGUGGGCAGAUACGGGUAAAUGCCGCCAAAAACAAGACUGGAGCUGCUCCUAUCAUUGAUGUGGUGCGAUCGGGCUACUACAAAGUUUUGGGAAAGGGAAAACUCCCAAAACAGCCUGUCAUCGUGAAGGCCAAAUUCUUCAGUAGAAGAGCAGAGGAGAAGAUUAAGGGUGUCGGGGGCGCCUGCAUUCUAGUAGCGUGAAGCCAUGUUUGGGCGGGGUUCAUUAAAUGCUAACAAGUGCUUUUCUCUUCUGGUCUGGGUGUAAAUUCAUUAGCACCCCUCCCUCCUUACCUGUACCUCAGAAACCCACCUAACAGAUUCUAGGAGUAAGGGUAUGAGGGCCUGAGACCCUCUGCCAACUCCCCUCAGAAAGUGUGAAAGAGAGCGUCAGCACUUAGAGGACUUGGCCCAAUACCUAACUUGAACAUUUUCAUUUAUAAAGUGAGAAUGAUAUCACAUGUAGUUGAAAGGCCAGUUUGCAUUGUAUAUUCUGAAUUUACAAUGAGGGGGAGAACACACCCAGGGUUUGUUAGGUUUUGUUAAAGUAAGCUCUCCACCCAACAUGGGGCUUGAACUCACGACCCUGAUUAAGAGUUACUUGCUCUACCAGCUGAGCCAGUCGGGCACCCCAAAAGGGAAGACUCAGUUUUGAUGGGACACAUUCUAAAGAGUGGACAGAGUGAUAGGAUUAAAGUGAUUGUGAAGGAUAUAAUUCCUGAACCUAAAGUUUUUCCUCCUUGACGCCCCCAUUAUUUACCAUACUGUUCCAGAAUCUUGAGAUGGGGCCCAGCAGUCUGAAUGUUAAACACACCAGGGCUUUUACACAUGAAAGUGGUUUGGAAUCUAAAAAGCAUUUGUCAGGAUUUAUGUAUCCCUGUGCAUUAAUGUUCAAAGAACUACAUCAUGAAAUGCUAAAGAUUCUAGUCUGAAAUGUAUUUAGCAUAGAAUUUGGAAAAAGCUAGAAGCUGGAAUUGGGUUUUCUAGGGUUUGUAUCUCCUACAAAACCACAAUGAUGACCAAUGCUCAUGUGCAGAUAGGACCUUCAGAUCUCAGGGUAAAUUGACUAACAGUUUUUCUAGUUCUUUCCAAAACUUAAAGUUUUCUUUGGCCCAAAAUAAAAGUUGCUUUCUAGAACCCUGUCCAAAAAAAAAAAAAAAACCUGAUCCUUACAGGAGCAGA